This 397-nucleotide ribosomal RNA is filed under the name uncultured bacterium. RNAcentral describes it as "bacterial SSU rRNA". It matches the Rfam family "Bacterial small subunit ribosomal RNA", at positions 975 to 1375 of the family's 1533-position model. The record is from RNAcentral.
CAAGGCUUGACAUAUACAGGAAUAUGGCAGAGAUGUCAUAGCCGCAAGGUCUGUAUACAGGUGGUGCAUGGUUGUCGUCAGCUCGUGUCGUGAGAUGUUGGGUUAAGUCCCGCAACGAGCGCAACCCUCGUUCUGUGUUGCCAGCAUUUAGUUGGGGACUCACAGGAGACUGCCGGGGUUAACUCGGAGGAAGGUGGGGAUGACGUCAAAUCAUCAUGCCCCUUAUGUCUUGGGCUGCACGCAUGCUACAAUGGCUGGUACAAACGGCUGCAAUACCGCAAGGUGGAGCGAAUCCGAGAAAGCCAGUCUCAGUUCGGAUUGGGGUCUGCAACUCGACCCCAUGAAGUCGGAGUUGCUAGUAAUCGUAGAUCAGCAACGCUACGGUGAAUACGUUCCC